AUAAGGGCAUCGUGGUGCCCGUAAUCGCUUGGACCUUCUUACGAAGAUCUUCAAUGGUCGCUCCUGCUCUUGUAUCACCUGUGAUGGCCCCUCUCCUAUAUCAGUAGAUGUCUCUUGAGCAUGCAUAUCGAGAAUAACAGAUGCUGUUGGAGCAUCUAUGAGCUGAGUGACCCCCUCAACCCCCUCAUAUGGAUCCAAUGAUGGGCCUGUAACAACCAGAUCAAACCACUC
This 231-nucleotide long non-coding RNA is filed under the name Elaeis guineensis (African oil palm). Its description in RNAcentral is "long non-coding RNA (EGUI_LNC026960)". The record is from RNAcentral. Lineage: Eukaryota; Viridiplantae; Streptophyta; Magnoliopsida; Arecales; Arecaceae.